RNAcentral lists this non-coding RNA (48 nucleotides) under Trichobilharzia regenti. Lineage: Eukaryota; Metazoa; Platyhelminthes; Trematoda; Strigeidida; Schistosomatidae. The record is from RNAcentral.
AGCUGGCAGAGGAGUCCCAAAUAGGACGAAAUGGGCAUCAUGCUGGAU